CUGAGUUUCCUUCAGUGCUGGAGAUCAUCCUCUAAGGAUCUCAAGCCACAAAAUGCCAUGAUCAAUGUUGUAUGAAGAAAGGUUGUAACAUCUGGGACCUUUUAGUUUAUAGAAAUGGUAAGGAAGAGACAACAUGAUAGUAGUUUUAAAAAAUAUGCAUGGCAUGGAGAAAGUGGAUAGAGAAAUGUUUUUGUAAAACUAGAACUCAUAGACCAUUGGUGGACUUUGGGGUCUGAAAUUUCAGUGGUGCCCUAUGUGAUGCCAAAAUUCAGCACCCCUCCUCUCACCUUCUAUUCUAUAGCAUAGCUGUGGUGUCCCCUGUGGCUUACCGUCUGGUGUGACCAAACCACAUAUGCUCACCUAAAUUUGGCUCUGCAUAGACAAGCAAUGAAGCCAAAUGUUGGAAAUUCAGAAAAGAUAAAAGUAUUUCUUCAUGCAGCAUAUAGUUAAACUAUGGAACUCCCUCCUACAGGAGGCAUUGAUCGCAACCAACUUGGGUGGCUUUUAAAGAGCAUUAGACCACUGAUGAUAAGGCUAUCAAUCGUUACUAGCCAUAAUGACUAUGCUCUGCUUCCAUGGUUGGAAGCAAUAAUAUUUUGGAAUACCAGCUUCUGAAAAUCUCUGGAGGCAAGAGUGCUCUUGUGCUUGAGUCCAACUUGGGGGCUGGCCACCAUGAAAACAGGAUGCACUACUACACGGAUCAUUGCCCUGAUCUAGCAGGUUCUUAUGUUUUUAUGGGUCCUUCACUCAGAAGUGUUGUGUAAACUCAAGUUUGUGUGUGAAUCUGGUUCUUUGGUUCUUAUACUAUAUUCCAGACAGAGUUUGCAUAUUAAAACAUCACUGGUGUUAAUAAGACAAGGUUAGGUACAUGUCUAAUUCUCCCACAACCAUCAGUGGGACUUAAAAAUAGUUAACUGUGUCUAGAUUUGAUUAUAGCAUUAGUAAUUAAAUCAAAAACUAUUCACCAUACAAAUAGGGCUUCACAUCUUUCUUUCCUGUCAGCCUCUAUAAGUUUAACCAUGCAUGUAAUGACAGGCAGAAAUUUAACAGGUGCCUUUCCCAGGAAGGAGAUUCGGUGAUAAGAAAUUGUCCAUAGGACUUCUGCCUCAACAAACCUUUUAAAGAUAAAGUAGCACUGCUGUUCUAUACACAUAACUUUUCUUAAAUGUGAAUGCCAUUCAUUGCUUCUUAUAUCUGUCAAUUUCUUUGACCCAGACUUUCUGGGUAGAAUUAAACAAAUCUCCUAAAAAGCAGUGCUGCCUGCUUUUCUUCAGAUUUUAUGCAGAGAAUUCCUAAUAUUCUGUCAAUCUGCAUAUAAAAUGGAGACCAAAUUAUGCACAGGCAAUAAUAAAAAUUGUGUUUUUUAGCUCCCCCCCCCCACUUUCACAGAGGGCAGUAAAAUGUUCCCAUUUACUUGAAAGGAAGAAAGAUAAGCCUUCUGGUUCAUGACUUAUUAGGCUUCUGGCUAUGGCUUAGUAGUGUCAGUUAGCUCCCUGGAUGACUUUUCUUUUUCUUUUUUCAGAAGCUAGAGAAUGGAAUAAAAUUGAAUGAGGAAACACAUUGUAAAAUAAGAAAGAACACAUCUAUUUAAAAAAGGACAAUUCCGGGUUUUGAAAGCUGAAUUGGGGGCAUUUUGCUGGCGAUCUAUCUCAGCAGGCGAUCCCCGAGGCACUGUGUUUGAGACAUACAAAAUGCCUCUGGGGCACAGAGGAAACACACCUGCUGUGAUCUCCUUUUCAUUGGGGCAGGUUGUGUGUCAGCUCUGUCUGUGAGGUGCAGUUAAGAGCAAAGACCUAGACACAUCCCUCCAAUUUCUUGGAGUCUCUUACAGAAAUGCCCAUAUGUUUUUGGAUACCAAGUUGUGAGCAGUGCAUGUUUCUUUGGUCUACAGGUAUAAAUCCAAUUACUAAGACAAGGUAUGGGGAUUUUGUUUUUUGUUUUUUAAAGAGAUGGCAAUGGACAUUUUGGAACAGCCUUCCCCAAACUGAUGCUCUUCAAGUGUUGUUGAGCACCAGCUGCCUUCUGCCCCAGGCAAUGUGGGCAAUGGUCAGCGAUGAUGGGAGUUGAAUAUCUGGAGGGCACCAGAAUGGGAAAGCUUAGUUUAGUGAAUAGCUAUUAUGUGUUCGUGAAGCUGCCAGCAUGAGUUUGACCAAACUGCGGGAGGCAGAAGUGACUGGCGUGCUCUGGUCCAUGGGGUCAUGAAGAGUCGGACACGACUAAAUGACUAAACAACAACAACAACAUUAUGUUGGUUAUACAGGCAACUCCCCGCUUGUGCAGGGGUUGAAUUCCAAGGCACUGUGUUGGUGGGGAAUUCAUAAGCCUGCCCCAUUCUGCUCCACCCCGUUCCACCCACUUCUAGGGCCAAAAAUGGUGUGUGUGUCAGCAGUCACAUUUGUGCUAAAUGUGUGCAAAUGAGGAGUUGCCUAUAUUGUCAGUUAGAUAUAUACCAAUAAGUAUUAAAUUAAAAUGUAGAAAGAGGUUUUUGAAAAAUGAAUGGCCAUAGCACAGUGUUAGAAGACAUAAUUUUCAUGAAGAAGGUCCCAAGAGUCCUGGAAGAUCCCUGCUAUCUCCCAGGUAGGAUUGGAAAAGAUAACCACCUGAAACUAUUCAGUGCUGCCUUGCAUAUUGAACUUGAUGGAACUUUGGUCUCAUUGGUGCAUAGCAGAUUCCUAUGUGCCCAAACAUGACCACUGUGUAGUUGAAUUCUCAUAUCAUAAGCUCCAAAUGCCAAAAUCCCAUCUACUGCCCAAUUAUUAAAUGUACAGAAACCUUCUCUUCCUUUGUAUCUGGUCAUCCUAGUGAGAUGAGCAACUGGUGGUCAGGGGAGCUGAGUCCACCCACCCAAUGCUAUGCAUACCUCAACCAUUCCCUUCCAAGGAAGAGCAACGCAGGUGAAGAUCUGUCCAGUCCUCUCCUGCAUAUAAUAAAACAGAACUUUGAAGCCCCCC
Molecule: non-coding RNA, 2951 nt
Organism: Podarcis lilfordi (Lilford's wall lizard)
Lineage: Eukaryota; Metazoa; Chordata; Lepidosauria; Squamata; Lacertidae
Source: the annotation of a GenBank genome assembly